UUAAUUGAAACCAAAAAGAGGUAUGUUACUGUUAAUGACACAAAUGGGUUUUAACCCCAAUUAAA
RNAcentral lists this transfer RNA (65 nucleotides) under Stictochironomus akizukii. RNAcentral describes it as "tRNA-Asn". The record is from RNAcentral. Lineage: Eukaryota; Metazoa; Arthropoda; Insecta; Diptera; Chironomidae.